UACGUAGGUGGCGAGCGUUGUCCGGAAUUAUUGGGCGUAAAGAGCUCGUAGGCGGUCUGUCGCGUCGGCUGUGAAAACCUGGGGCUUAACUCCGGGCCUGCAGCCGAUACGGGCAGACUAGAGUUCGGCAGGGGAGAACUGGAAUUCCUGGUGUAGCGGUGAAAUGCGCAGAUAUCAGGAGGAACACCGGUGGCGAAGGCGGGUCUCUGGGCCGAAACUGACGCUGAGGAGCGAAAGCGUGGGGAGCAAACAGG
RNAcentral lists this ribosomal RNA (254 nucleotides) under uncultured bacterium. Its description in RNAcentral is "partial 16S ribosomal RNA". It matches the Rfam family "Bacterial small subunit ribosomal RNA", at positions 524 to 776 of the family's 1533-position model. The record is from RNAcentral.